Molecule: long non-coding RNA, 159 nt
Organism: Bombina bombina (fire-bellied toad)
Lineage: Eukaryota; Metazoa; Chordata; Amphibia; Anura; Bombinatoridae
Exons: 2
Source: RefSeq, a predicted model, not a curated record
AAUGUGAUCAUGUCUGUGGCACUGUCUUUCAACUGUGCUGACUUCAAUAACAUCUAAAGACACCUUGACUUUAUUUUCAAGUUUGCUGAAUUAAAAAAAAAGGAUUUAUAGUUAUUGUUAGUGUUUUCUUAGUUAUAAAAUAAAUAUCUUUACAUUCUA